UCAGCCUCCAUGCAAGUCGAGCGGUAGCACAGAGAACUUGUUUCUUGGGUGACGAGCGGCGACGGGUGAGUAAUGCUUGGGAACAUGCCUUUAGGUGGGGGACAACAGUUGGAAACGACUGCUAAUACCGCAUGAUGUCUACGGACCAAAGUGGGGGACCUUCGGGCCUCACGCCUAAAGAUUGGCCCAAGGGGAUUAGCUAGUUGGUGAGGUAAUGGCUCACCAAGGCAACGAUCUCUAGCUGGUUUGAGAGGAUGAUCAGCCACACUGGAACUGAGACACGGUCCAGACUCCUACGGGAGGCAGCAGUGGGGAAUAUUGCACAAUGGGCGAAAGCCUGAUGCAGCCAUGCCGCGUGUGUGAAGAAGGCCUUCGGGUUGUAAAGCACUUUCAGUCAGGAGGAAAGGGUGUGUUUUAAUAGAGCACAUCUGUGACGUUACUGACAGAAGAAGCACCGGCUAACUCCGUGCCAGCAGCCGCGGUAAUACGGAGGGUGCGAGCGUUAGUCGGAAUUACUGGGCGUAAAGCGUACGCAGGCGGUUGAUUAAGCGAGAUGUGAAAGCCCCGGGCUCAACCUGGGAACUGCAUUUCGAACUGGUCAACUAGAGUGUGAUAGAGGGUGGUAGAAUUUCAGGUGUAGCGGUGAAAUGCGUAGAGAUCUGAAGGAAUACCGAUGGCGAAGGCAGCCACCUGGGUCAACACUGACGCUCAUGUACGAAAGCGUGGGGAGCAAACAGGAUUAGAUACCCUGGUAGUCCACGCCGUAAACGAUGUCUACUAGAAGCUGGGGUCCUCGGACAACUUUUUCAAAGCUAACGCAUUAAGUAGACCGCCUGGGGAGUACGGCCGCAAGGUUAAAACUCAAAUGAAUUGACGGGGGCCCGCACAAGCGGUGGAGCAUGUGGUUUAAUUCGAUGCAACGCGAAGAACCUUACCUACACUUGACAUCCAGAGAAAUCGCUAGAGAUAGCUUUGUGCCUUCGGAUCUGAGACAGGUGCUGCAUGGUGUCGUCAGCUCGUGGUGAGAUGUGGGUUAAGUCCCGAGAGCGCACCCUAUCCGCAGCGAGUAGUCGCUCUGGACUGCGAUACAGGACCAGCAUCAUUAC
Molecule: ribosomal RNA, 1106 nt
Filed under: uncultured Pseudoalteromonas sp.
Lineage: Bacteria; Pseudomonadati; Pseudomonadota; Gammaproteobacteria; Alteromonadales; Pseudoalteromonadaceae
Description: bacterial SSU rRNA
Rfam family: Bacterial small subunit ribosomal RNA
Source: RNAcentral